CCUACGGGGGGCUGCAGUGGGGAAUAUUGGACAAUGGGCGAAAGCCUGAUCCAGCCAUGCCGCGUGUGUGAAGAAGGCCUUCGGGUUGUAAAGCACUUUCAGUGGGGAAGAAAGCCUUGGGGCUAAUACCCUCGAGGAAGGACAUCACCCACAGAAGAAGCACCGGCUAACUCCGUGCCAGCAGCCGCGGUAAUACGGAGGGUGCGAGCGUUAAUCGGAAUUACUGGGCGUAAAGCGCGCGUAGGCGGUCUGAUAAGCCGGUUGUGAAAGCCCCGGGCUCAACCUGGGAACGGCAUCCGGAACUGGCAGGCUAGAGUGCAGGAGAGGAAGGUAGAAUUCCCGGUGGAGCGGUGAAAUGCGUAGAGAUCGGGAGGAAUACCAGUGGCGAAGGCGGCCUUCUGGACUGACACUGACGCUGAGGUGCGAAAGCGUGGGUAGCAAACAGGAUUAGAUACCCGUGUAGUC
This 465-nucleotide ribosomal RNA is filed under the name Vreelandella stevensii. Its description in RNAcentral is "partial 16S ribosomal RNA". It matches the Rfam family "Bacterial small subunit ribosomal RNA", at positions 338 to 795 of the family's 1533-position model. The record is from RNAcentral. Lineage: Bacteria; Pseudomonadati; Pseudomonadota; Gammaproteobacteria; Oceanospirillales; Halomonadaceae.